AUUGAACGCUGGCGGCAGGCCUAACACAUGCAAGUCGAACGGUAGCACAGAGAGCUUGCUCUCGGGUGACGAGUGGCGGACGGGUGAGUAAUGUCUGGGAAACUGCCCGAUGGAGGGAGAUAACUACUGGAAACGGUAGCUAAUACCGCAUAACGUCGCAAGACCAAAGUGGGGGACCUUCGGGCCUCACACCAUCGGAUGUGCCCAGAUGGGAUGAGCUAGUAGGUGGGGUAACGGCUCACCUAGGCGACGAUCCCUAGCUGGUCUGAGAGGAUGACCAGCCACACUGGAACUGAGACACGGUCCAGACUCCUACGGGAGGCAGCAGUGGGGAAUAUUGCACAAUGGGCGCAAGCCUGAUGCAGCCAUGCCGCGUGUAUGAAGAAGGCCUUCGGGUUGUAAAGUACUUUCAGCGAGGAGGAAGGCAUUAAGGUUAAUAACCUUAGUGAUUGACGUUACUCGCAGAAGAAGCACCGGCUAACUCCGUGCCAGCAGCCGCCGCCG
This 504-nucleotide ribosomal RNA is filed under the name uncultured bacterium. RNAcentral's name for it is "partial 16S ribosomal RNA". It matches the Rfam family "Bacterial small subunit ribosomal RNA", at positions 30 to 523 of the family's 1533-position model. The record is from RNAcentral.